Lontra canadensis (Northern American river otter) is the source of this 580-nucleotide non-coding RNA. The record is from the annotation of a RefSeq genome assembly. Lineage: Eukaryota; Metazoa; Chordata; Mammalia; Carnivora; Mustelidae.
GCCAGUGUUUUCGAUUGAGUAUCCUGGCCGCAUUUCAGUCCAUAGAGCCGAGUCUUCUGUGAUCCCAAUAAGGAAGAAGAAUGGAGAAACUCCUGGAAGUGUCUUUGCUGAUACUAUGGCUUCAACUGCCCAUGGUGAACAGCCAGCAGGAACAGCAUCAUCAGGUCCUGAGCAUCCAGGAGAGUGAAAAUGCCACCAUGAACUGCAGUUAUAAAACUUCGAUAAGCAACUUACAGUGGUAUAGACAAGACUCGGGUCAAGGCUUUGUCCAGCUGAUUUUAAUACGUUCAAAUGAAAGAGAGAAACACAGCGGAAGGCUACGGGUCACCCUGGACAACUCUAUCAAAAGCAGUUCUUUGUCCAUCAUUGCUUCCCAGACUGCAGACUCUGCUACUUACAUCUGUGCCACAAGACACAAUGUUCACCAGGCACCUGCAGCCUCUGCACAAACUCUGCCCAAGCUGCCCCUUUGAAGCCCCACAGUGGGUAGCAUUCGUGGUUAAGUCUUCACAGGAAGGAGAGUCUAUAAAGAGCGGGCGAGAUGAAAGACGGACCCUCUCAAAUUCAUGGUUUCUUUGGA